GGUAAGACACAUAAUACACAGGCAAUAACAGGUAAUAACAGGUAAUAUCAGGUAAGACACAUAUAAUACACAGGUAAUAAACAGGCAAUAACAGGUAAGACACAGAUAAUAUACAGGCAAUAACAGGCAAUAACAGGUAAUAACAGGCAAUAACAGGCAAUAACAGGUAAUAACAGGCAAUAACAGGUAAUAACAGGUAAUAUCAGGUAAGACACAUAUAAUACACAG
Molecule: non-coding RNA, 228 nt
Organism: Oncorhynchus mykiss (rainbow trout)
Lineage: Eukaryota; Metazoa; Chordata; Actinopteri; Salmoniformes; Salmonidae
Source: RefSeq, a predicted model, not a curated record